This 689-nucleotide unclassified non-coding RNA is filed under the name Hevea brasiliensis (rubber tree). Lineage: Eukaryota; Viridiplantae; Streptophyta; Magnoliopsida; Malpighiales; Euphorbiaceae. The record is from RNAcentral.
GCUGCAAGCUGGGAUGAGCUCCCAAAUGCAGUUGUUGGUGAUGCAGAGAAUGCAUUGACAAAAAGUACUGAUGACAAAGCUGGUCAGGAAGCCUUGAUUAAUGUUUUCCGUGCAGCAGAGGCAGUGGAGGAGUUCACAGGAAUUCUCACAUCUCUGAAAAUGGAGAUGGAUGACGCGAUUGGUUUAAGUGGUGAGAAUGUGAAGCCUAUGUCAAAAGAAUUCUCUGAAGCAUUCCAAACAAUACUUCAACGUUACAACACUUACUUAAGUGCUUUUGGGUUAGAAGAGGUAUACUUGAAGAAGAAAGUGGAGAUGGAACUAGGGACAAAGAUGAUACACUUGAAAAUGAGAUGCAGUGGCCUUGAUUCCGAAUGGGGAAAGGUUACAGUACUUGGGACUUCAGGACUGGCUGGUUCCUAUGUUGAGCAAAGAGCAUAAGCCUUCAAUGAUGGCUGAAAAGUCAGAAGUGUUUUCGCCUUCAAGUCACUUACGUAACAUUUUCCUGGAAAAAGAAAAGGAAGUUUUAGAUAAUACAGGAUGAUAUUGAUGUGAUCCGUUAAAUUGCACUCUUCUUUCGCAAGUUUUAUAAUGUGAUAGCAGCAAUAUGUAGUUGAUACUAAUCCUAAUAACUUCUUCAAGGAGACAGUUUCCUGAGUAUUCAGAAUGAGAGUGUUUUAUGUCAAUUGAUU